CAACGUUUCAGUUCUCUCCAAGGACUUUCAUUAGGAUCAUAAAACCUUUUAUGAUCCUGAUGAAAGUCCUUGGAGAGGACUGAAAUGUU
Non-coding RNA from Pelobates cultripes (western spadefoot toad), 89 nucleotides. Lineage: Eukaryota; Metazoa; Chordata; Amphibia; Anura; Pelobatidae. The record is from the annotation of a GenBank genome assembly.